RNAcentral lists this ribosomal RNA (492 nucleotides) under uncultured bacterium. RNAcentral describes it as "partial 16S ribosomal RNA". It matches the Rfam family "Bacterial small subunit ribosomal RNA", at positions 29 to 507 of the family's 1533-position model. The record is from RNAcentral.
AGUGAACGCUGGCGGUAGGCCUAACACAUGCAAGUCGAACGGCAGCACAGUAAGAGCUUGCUCUUACGGGUGGCGAGUGGCGGACGGGUGAGGAAUACAUCGGAAUCUACUUUUUCGUGGGGGAUAACGUAGGGAAACUUACGCUAAUACCGCAUACGACCUACGGGUGAAAGCAGGGGGUCUUCGGACCUUGCGCGAUUGAAUGAGCCGAUGUCGGAUUAGCUAGUUGGCGGGGUAAAGGCCCACCAAGGCGACGAUCCGUAGCUGGUCUGAGAGGAUGAUCAGCCACACUGGAAAUGAGACACGGUCCAGACUCCUACGGGAGGCAGCAGUGGGGAAUAUUGGACAAUGGGCGCAAGCCUGAUCCAGCCAUACCGCGUGGGUGAAGAAGGCCUUCGGGUUGUAAAGCCCUUUUGUUGGGAAAGAAAAGCAGCAGGUUAAUACCCCGCUGUUCUGACGGUACCCAAAGAAUAAGCACCGGCUAACUUCGUG